Molecule: ribosomal RNA, 2027 nt
Filed under: Staphylococcus aureus C1842
Lineage: Bacteria; Bacillati; Bacillota; Bacilli; Caryophanales; Staphylococcaceae
Description: bacterial LSU rRNA
Rfam family: Bacterial large subunit ribosomal RNA
Source: RNAcentral
AUUGGAGGUAGAGCACUGUUUGGACGAGGGGCCCCUCUCGGGUUACCGAAUUCAGACAAACUCCGAAUGCCAAUUAAUUUAACUUGGGAGUCAGAACAUGGGUGAUAAGGUCCGUGUUCGAAAGGGAAACAGCCCAGACCACCAGCUAAGGUCCCAAAAUAUAUGUUAAGUGGAAAAGGAUGUGGCGUUGCCCAGACAACUAGGAUGUUGGCUUAGAAGCAGCCAUCAUUUAAAGAGUGCGUAAUAGCUCACUAGUCGAGUGACACUGCGCCGAAAAUGUACCGGGGCUAAACAUAUUACCGAAGCUGUGGAUUGUCCUUUGGACAAUGGUAGGAGAGCGUUCUAAGGGCGUUGAAGCAUGAUCGUAAGGACAUGUGGAGCGCUUAGAAGUGAGAAUGCCGGUGUGAGUAGCGAAAGACGGGUGAGAAUCCCGUCCACCGAUUGACUAAGGUUUCCAGAGGAAGGCUCGUCCGCUCUGGGUUAGUCGGGUCCUAAGCUGAGGCCGACAGGCGUAGGCGAUGGAUAACAGGUUGAUAUUCCUGUACCACCUAUAAUCGUUUUAAUCGAUGGGGGGACGCAGUAGGAUAGGCGAAGCGUGCGAUUGGAUUGCACGUCUAAGCAGUAAGGCUGAGUAUUAGGCAAAUCCGGUACUCAUUAAGGCUGAGCUGUGAUGGGGAGAAGACAUUGUGUCUUCGAGUCGUUGAUUUCACACUGCCGAGAAAAGCCUCUAGAUAGAAAAUAGGUGCCCGUACCGCAAACCGACACAGGUAGUCAAGAUGAGAAUUCUAAGGUGAGCGAGCGAACUCUCGUUAAGGAACUCGGCAAAAUGACCCCGUAACUUCGGGAGAAGGGGUGCUCUUUAGGGUUAACGCCCAGAAGAGCCGCAGUGAAUAGGCCCAAGCGACUGUUUAUCAAAAACACAGGUCUCUGCUAAACCGUAAGGUGAUGUAUAGGGGCUGACGCCUGCCCGGUGCUGGAAGGUUAAGAGGAGUGGUUAGCUUCUGCGAAGCUACGAAUCGAAGCCCCAGUAAACGGCGGCCGUAACUAUAACGGUCCUAAGGUAGCGAAAUUCCUUGUCGGGUAAGUUCCGACCCGCACGAAAGGCGUAACGAUUUGGGCACUGUCUCAACGAGAGACUCGGUGAAAUCAUAGUACCUGUGAAGAUGCAGGUUACCCGCGACAGGACGGAAAGACCCCGUGGAGCUUUACUGUAGCCUGAUAUUGAAAUUCGGCACAGCUUGUACAGGAUAGGUAGGAGCCUUUGAAACGUGAGCGCUAGCUUACGUGGAGGCGCUGGUGGGAUACUACCCUAGCUGUGUUGGCUUUCUAACCCGCACCACUUAUCGUGGUGGGAGACAGUGUCAGGCGGGCAGUUUGACUGGGGCGGUCGCCUCCUAAAAGGUAACGGAGGCGCUCAAAGGUUCCCUCAGAAUGGUUGGAAAUCAUUCAUAGAGUGUAAAGGCAUAAGGGAGCUUGACUGCGAGACCUACAAGUCGAGCAGGGUCGAAAGACGGACUUAGUGAUCCGGUGGUUCCGUAUGGAAGGGCCAUCGCUCAACGGAUAAAAGCUACCCCGGGGAUAACAGGCUUAUCUCCCCCAAGAGUUCACAUCGACGGGGAGGUUUGGCACCUCGAUGUCGGCUCAUCGCAUCCUGGGGCUGUAGUCGGUCCCAAGGGUUGGGCUGUUCGCCCAUUAAAGCGGUACGCGAGCUGGGUUCAGAACGUCGUGAGACAGUUCGGUCCCUAUCCGUCGUGGGCGUAGGAAAUUUGAGAGGAGCUGUCCUUAGUACGAGAGGACCGGGAUGGACAUACCUCUGGUGUACCAGUUGUCGUGCCAACGGCAUAGCUGGGUAGCUAUGUGUGGACGGGAUAAGUGCUGAAAGCAUCUAAGCAUGAAGCCCCCCUCAAGAUGAGAUUUCCCAACUUCGGUUAUAAGAUCCCUCAAAGAUGAUGAGGUUAAUAGGUUCGAGGUGGAAGCAUGGUGACAUGUGGAGCUGACGAAUACUAAUCGAUCGAAGACUUAAUCAA